RNAcentral lists this ribosomal RNA (495 nucleotides) under uncultured bacterium. RNAcentral's name for it is "partial 16S ribosomal RNA". It matches the Rfam family "Bacterial small subunit ribosomal RNA", at positions 28 to 507 of the family's 1533-position model. The record is from RNAcentral.
GACGAACGCUGGCGGCGUGCCUAAUACAUGCAAGUAGAACGCUGACGGAGGAGCUUGCUUCUCUGGAUGAGUUGCGAACGGGUGAGUAACGCGUAGGUAACCUGCCUGGUAGCGGGGGAUAACUAUUGGAAACGAUAGCUAAUACCGCAUAAGAGUAGAUGUCGCAUGACAUUUGCUUAAAAAGUGCAAUUGCAUCACUAACAGAUGGACCUGCGUUGUAUUAGCUAGUUGGUGAGGUAUCGGCUCACCUAGGCAACGAUAUAUAGCCGACCUGAGAGGGGGAUCGGCCACACUGUGAGUGAGACACGGCCCAGACUCCUACAGGAAGCAGCAGUAGGGAAUCUUCGGCAAGGGACGGAAGUCGGACCGAGCAACGCCGCGUGAGUGAUGAAGGUUCUCGGAUCGUAGAGCGCUGUUGUAAGAGUAGAACGAGUGUGAGAGUGUAAAGUUCACACUGUGACGGUAUCUUACCAGAAAGUGACGGCUAACUACGUG